GGAUGUAUAGUUUAGUGGUAAAGCAUUUGCCUAGCAUGUACAAGGCCCUGGGUUCGAUUCCCAGCACCA
This 69-nucleotide transfer RNA is filed under the name Heterocephalus glaber (naked mole-rat). It matches the Rfam family "tRNA". Rfam says of the family: Transfer RNA (tRNA) molecules are approximately 80 nucleotides in length. Their secondary structure includes four short double-helical elements and three loops (D, anti-codon, and T loops). Lineage: Eukaryota; Metazoa; Chordata; Mammalia; Rodentia; Bathyergidae. The record is from Rfam by way of RNAcentral.